AAUGAACGCUGGCGGCGUGCCUAAUACAUGCAAGUCGAGCGAACGGUCGAGAAGCUGGCUUUUCUGAUGUUAUCGGCGGACGGGUGAUGAACACGUGGAUAACCUACCUAUAAGACUGGGAUAACUUCGGGAAACCGUAGCUAAGGCCGAAUAAUAUUUUGCACCGCAUUGUUCAAAAGUUAAAUACGCUCUUGCUUUGACUUAUAGAUGGAUCCGCGCUGCAUUAGCUAGUUGUUAAGGUAACGGCUUAACAAGGCAACGAUGCAUAGCCGACCUGAGAGGGUGAUCCGACACACUGGAACUGAGAAUCGGCCGCGACUCCUGCGGGAGGCAGCAGUAGGGAAUCUUACGGGAAGGGGGAAAGCCUGACGGAGCAACGCCGCGUGAGUGAUGAAGGUGUUCGGCUCGUAAAACGAUGUUAUUAGGGAAGAACAUAUGUGUAAGUAACUGUGAACAUAUUGACGGUACCUAAUCAGAAAGCCACGGCUAACUACGUG
Molecule: ribosomal RNA, 497 nt
Filed under: uncultured bacterium
Lineage: Bacteria
Description: partial 16S ribosomal RNA
Rfam family: Bacterial small subunit ribosomal RNA
Source: RNAcentral